Molecule: long non-coding RNA, 304 nt
Organism: Cygnus olor (mute swan)
Lineage: Eukaryota; Metazoa; Chordata; Aves; Anseriformes; Anatidae
Exons: 3
Source: RefSeq, a predicted model, not a curated record
CGAGAGGGCGGGAAGUGGGCGGGGCUCGCACCCAUUCCCUGUGAGGAGCUGUGAGGAGAAGCAGGUCCCCCUGUGUCCCCUCAGUGCCGUGGGAGCAUGGAGAGCAGAGAAAGCGCAGCAAGCGGGGCUGAGGGUGGCUGGUUGGAGGAGUCCCUGCUGGACUGCGCCUUCGCUGCCUGUGACACGGAGCAGACAGGCGCGGUGCCAGCCUGGCGCAUCGUGGAGUACCUGCGGGCGGUGACGGGGCGUAGCGGCGAGGAGCAGCAGCUGCAGGAGCUCAGGCAGAUGCUGGAGCUGACGGCAG